This 73-nucleotide transfer RNA is filed under the name Capra hircus (goat). It matches the Rfam family "tRNA". Rfam says of the family: Transfer RNA (tRNA) molecules are approximately 80 nucleotides in length. Their secondary structure includes four short double-helical elements and three loops (D, anti-codon, and T loops). Further hydrogen bonds mediate the characteristic L-shaped molecular structure. tRNAs have two regions of fundamental functional importance: the anti-codon, which is responsible for specific mRNA codon recognition, and the 3' end, to which the tRNAs corresponding amino acid is attached (by aminoacyl-tRNA synthetases). tRNAs cope with the degeneracy of the genetic code in two manners: having more than one tRNA (with a specific anti-codon) for a particular amino acid; and 'wobble' base-pairing, i.e. permitting non-standard base-pairing at the 3rd anti-codon position. The record is from Rfam by way of RNAcentral. RNAcentral also lists the same sequence under 1 other name. Lineage: Eukaryota; Metazoa; Chordata; Mammalia; Artiodactyla; Bovidae.
UCCCCGGUGGUCCAGUGGUUAAGACUCUGGCUUCCCAAUGCAAGGGGCCCAGGUUCAAUCCCUGGUCAGGGAA